Molecule: small RNA, 707 nt
Filed under: uncultured Moraxella sp.
Lineage: Bacteria; Pseudomonadati; Pseudomonadota; Gammaproteobacteria; Moraxellales; Moraxellaceae
Description: bacterial LSU rRNA
Rfam family: Bacterial large subunit ribosomal RNA (bases 1-623)
Source: RNAcentral
AUUUAUGAUGUGACGGCGUACCUUUUGUAUAAUGGGUCAGCGACUUAUAUUCUGUAGCAAGGUUAACCGAAUAGGGAGCCGUAGGGAAACCGAGUCUUAAUAGGGCGUCUAGUUGCAGGGUAUAGACCCGAAACCGAGUGAUCUAUCCAUGAGCAGGUUGAAAGUGACGUAACAGUUACCGGAGGACCGAACCCACUGUUUGAAAAGCCAGGGGAUGACUUGUGGAUAGGGGUGAAAGGCUAAUCAAACUCGGUGAUAGCUGGUUCUCCCCGAAAGCUAUUCAGGUAGCCGUACCUCGUGUAUCACUGCGUGGGGGUAGAGCACUUGUUUCGGCGUAGGGGGUCACUCCCGUAACUUACCAAACCGAUCGACAAACUCCGAAUACCAGACAAGUGUACAGCGAACGGGANACCACGACGGGUCGGGUGACCGUAACGGUCCGUACGUAAGGAAAAAACGGGAAACCAACCCGAGUACCCGUCAAGUACCGUUAAACGGGUACCCCAAAAAAGUUCCCGUAGGGUUAAACGUAGGGGAAAACCGUAGUUGGGUAGGGGAACGGUCUUACGAAGACCGAAGGUCGUUAAGGGGUAGGUUUUAGGACCUUUAAAGGGAACGCCGAAACGGUCCCCUAAAAAACCCCGUUUUAAAGGAAACGUCCGUUAAAGUACGCCUUACGAACCGUUAGGUACCGGAGGUUCCCCGGG